RNAcentral lists this ribosomal RNA (475 nucleotides) under uncultured organism. RNAcentral describes it as "partial 16S ribosomal RNA". It matches the Rfam family "Bacterial small subunit ribosomal RNA", at positions 331 to 797 of the family's 1533-position model. The record is from RNAcentral.
GUACACUCCUACGGGAGGCAGCAGUGGGGAAUUUUGGACAAUGGGCGAAAGCCUGAUCCAGCCAUGCCGCGUGCAGGAUGAAGGCCUUCGGGUUGUAAACUGCUUUUGUACGGAACGAAACGGCCUUUUCUAAUAAAGAGGGCUAAUGACGGUACCGUAAGAAUAAGCACCGGCUAACUACGUGCCAGCAGCCGCGGUAAUACGUAGGGUGCAAGCGUUAAUCGGAAUUACUGGGCGGAAAGCGUGCGCAGGCGGUUAUGUAAGACAGUUGUGAAAUCCCCGGGCUCAACCUGGGAACUGCAUCUGUGACUGCAUAGCUAGAGUACGGUAGAGGGGGAUGGAAUUCCGCGUGUAGCAGUGAAAUGCGUAGAUAUGCGGAGGAACACCGAUGGCGAAGGCAAUCCCCUGGACCUGUACUGACGCUCAUGCACGAAAGCGUGGGGAGCAAACAGGAUUAGAAACCCCAGUAGUCCCA